AAUAUUGCACAAUGGGCGCAAGCCUGAUGCAGCCAUGCCGCGUGUAUGAAGAAGGCCUUCGGGUUGUAAAGUACUUUCAGCGGGGAGGAAGGCGAUACGGUUAAUAACCUUGUCGAUUGACGUUACCCGCAGAAGCAGCACCGGCUAACUCCGUGCCAGCAGCCGCGGUAAUACGGAGGGUGCAAGCGUUAAUCGGAAUUACUGGGCGUAAAGCGCACGCAGGCGGUCUGUCAAGUCGGAUGUGAAAUCCCCGGGCUCAACCUGGGAACUGCAUUCGAAACUGGCAGGCUAGAGUCUUGUAGAGGGGGGUAGAAUUCCAGGUGUAGCGGUGAAAUGCGUAGAGAUCUGGAGGAAUACCGGUGGCGAAGGCGGCCCCCUGGACAAAGACUGACGCUCAGGUGCGAAAGCGUGGGGAGCAAACAGG
Molecule: ribosomal RNA, 424 nt
Filed under: uncultured bacterium
Lineage: Bacteria
Description: partial 16S ribosomal RNA
Rfam family: Bacterial small subunit ribosomal RNA
Source: RNAcentral